CUUCCUGUUCUGAAAAAUCCUACUUUGUUGUUUUACAAGUAUUUUACACAGUAUUUUAAACAGACUUAUAUCUUUUUUUAUAAUCAAAGAAACGGUUAAAAUGUGUACAGACAUUUAACCGAUUACAGAUGUAUAUGAUACCUGGUAACCAGCACCCCAUCCACUUCGGUACACGAUGGGGAGACGCUAUUAGACAAUAUCAGAUUAUCGUCCACUAAGAUGAGGUUUACUCAGUCAAUAAAUAGUUUCAGCUUAUAUGGUGUUUACGCUGCAUAUUGUGCAAGUUCAAUAUAUUAUUCAAAGUGUUUUCAGCAAUAACUAGGGCCAGAUAUUGGAAGGUAAUAUACCACUAAAUUUAUCAAAUGUUCUCUGGAACAAUCUGUGAAGCUAAAAUGGAUGUUUUUGGACUUCAGAUAUUAUUCUUAACUGCUAGCAUAAUUGCAAACUGUAUAAACAAUUGUGACUUGAUAGGUUUGUCUUACUGUGUUGAAAAGACCAGGAAUGUGAUUACAUACAGUCAACUUACAGUCUAUGAUAAUUUUGUUAAAAGCUUUAAACAUAUUCAGAAGAAACAGAAAAAUACAUAUGUUUAUAAUUCUAAAAGUAGCAACAGCGUUUCUUUCUGUUUAUUUGUUGUUAUAUGGUGAUAUACAUCCGUGCCGUGGUUCCAUGGCUAGUGACCCAGAAGAAUCUACAAAUAAAUUCCGUUUUUCUGAAAAGCGGGGACUUCAUUUUUUCAUCUUAAGCUACAUUCUAUAGCCAAAAUAUCGACAUUUUAGUGUUCGUCUUUACAACCAUUUUGCGAAUUAUUACUGAAAAGUUACACAAUUUGAUGAAUGAAACACCUGUUGAAAAUGACUAAGCUCUCUUUUGAAGUAUAUAUCUUGAAAAAUAAAUGUCAACUUGUACCCGAAAUUCUGGACAGAAGAAAGAAAAAAUAUUUUUAGGAGGUCAUGUUUUUUUCAAAAUCGAGAACUGCUACACACAAGCAUUAUUCUGUCUAAAAUUGUGACCAAAACCUACCUAGAUAAUUUAUCUACUUCCUGCGAGCAAUAAAUUUUUAAACAAAUUCAAUGAAAACGCCUGUCAGAGCCGAUCAUUUCAGAUAGUUUUUAUUUUCUCUUUUUUUUUUUCAUGCUGACAUCAUCGUUUCACUACUAAUUUGACAUAAAUCUACGUAUUUAUGACAAAAAUCCAUAAUAUCAUUACAAGGGCAAUACACACAAAACUCGGAUGUGUCAAUUUUAUUUUUAGAAGCGGUUGCAGUCACAAAGUAAUUGACAGAAAAAUAAAUGUAAAUUUCAGCAUAUUUUUUCACACAAAAAUGUGAUAGUGCGUAGAAAUGUGAUCAGGCUGAGCACAUGGCCUUAUGGAUUACAUGAUUUUAGGCGCUUAACGUGAAAACAGUUGAAGAACAUGAUUCACACACAUUAAAUUUAUGCUUAAACCUAUAUUCGAUACAUUAUGCAUAUGAUUAUAAUUCACGAUAAUAUCGCUUAUGGAAGUAACUGGAAUAAAUUUGGACUAUUUCCUUCGGAAGUUUACAUGACUGUGCUGUCAAACGGCGUCCCGUGUGUUUACAUAAUUUGACAGGUCGAGUUGAUCUGGCAGGAACGAUAUCAUGAAGAAAGAAUACCUGCACCAUGGAAAUAAUGUCAUUUGUUAACUGUCUGAACCUGCGCAAGGCGUGCACAUUGGUCAACAUUUCUUUUUCAACAGGAAUAGCCUACAUGAUGGUGACCAACAACAGUACUGACACUGACAGAUGAAGAUAUAAGAUAAACCAAAGAAAUAAUGGGACAAUGAAUGCUAUAAUUGGCAAGAAGAAGACUGCCAUAUUUACACACCAUUGUAUACAG
Mercenaria mercenaria is the source of this 1859-nucleotide long non-coding RNA. RefSeq lists it as uncharacterized. The record is from RefSeq and is a predicted model, not a curated record. The transcript has 3 exons. Lineage: Eukaryota; Metazoa; Mollusca; Bivalvia; Venerida; Veneridae.